AAUACAGAUAUUUAUUAGGAAAAUUAUAAGUGCAUAUACAUCUUUUCCUUGAUAUGACUUCAAAGUAGAAAUUGUUUCUCAGAGUUGUUACUUAUUUAAAAAAAAAAAAAAAAGCACACUGCAGGAAGCUGCCUUCUCCUGGACCAUUUUCACAUUAUCUGGGAGAUACAAUUUAAACAAUAUGAAAUACAGUAUUUAUCACACUUAACACUGAAUCCGUUGUGCACAGAGACUGAGAGUCUGGUGAGGUUCUAGAGUAACCGAUGUUCUACCUGGAUUUAUCGGCUUGGCAACUUCAGUGAUCAGAUCAGGGGAUCUGCCAGUUUCUAGGAGCAAUUCCCAAAGAGGAGUCAAGGAAGUUAUGUAGAGAUCAACCCCAAGUCUUCACCCAGCUGAAAGAUGAUCAGCUCCCAGGUAGGGAGCCCCAGUAUUAAAACCAAGCCCAGGAAAUCACACCACUGAGGGGGCGAGACAGCUCCAGUGGAGAGGCUGAGGUCUCUGUACUUCAUCCAAGGGGGACUCCAACCUUUUGCUAUUCAGACUUCUACUCAAAGUUAAGCCUCCUUCCUUGGGAGGCGAUCUCGAUGGAACAGGUAGAAAAGCAGAGCUCCUCCUGAGCCUCACCAGAAUCUCAGUGCCUGGCCAGAGGGAGACAAAGGACAGUACAAAGGACAGCGCAAACAACACAUGGCACAGAUUUAGAUUCCAACACACUGUCCCUCUUCCGGGUCCUGAUGCAAAGGCUGGCAGGGGAAGACUACCCUGGAGGUGGUACAGAGCCCAAGGAAUGUCAGGUAGAGAGAGCACAGACCAGGAGGGGCAGCCCUACCAAUGACCCCAGUCAAUAGCUCACUGAUGCAUCUGACUUGUAUUUUGAAAGCGAAAGGGGGAUUAAGAUCAGGAGAGACUUUUCCUUUGCAAAUGGUCUAUUUAAAUGCCUAUAGGCUUUAGCUGGGUAGUCUGUAAGAGCAGAUUGUCAGUGGAAGAACAGUUAUACAAAUAAUUUUCCCUACCAUAUCUACUCAUAUCUAUUUCUCCCCUUUAAGAACAAGAAACAGAAAAGAUUCCUUACUUAACUGCAGUCUGGAUUUUGACAGUUUUUUUCCUCUUAGCAAAAGAUUUAAUGGUCCUGGUUCGUGGAUUCUGGGGGAAGAUGCUUCCAAAUUUUCCACAAGAGAUUUUUAAUGUCUUGUAUUACUUGGGAAAUGACUUUCUCACUGAAAAUUCAAUUAUUUCAUAUAUAAUUCAGGAGCACCGUAGUGAGAGGUUAAUCUCAAAAGAGGAUUCUGAAACCAGUUAUAACUAAUGAAGUUCCCCAGACUCUACCUUUUUCAGUGUAAUAUAUCUGGUCAGAAGAUUUUAAUUUUUGUUUAAAUUGGGGGAAAAUUUUGGUCAAUGGAUUGGCCUUUUGCCAUAAAGAUCCAAUUUAAAGGGAUAUUUAUGGAAAUGCCUAACACAUGUUACUAAUACCCCUGCAGAUUAUUAAAUCUCAAGCCACCUACAAUGCAAGGUUAUUUUACUAUAAUUUACUUUCUGCAUGUGAUCUGUCAACUCAGAAAUUCCCUUGUUUUGCCUUUCUUU
This is a long non-coding RNA of Tupaia belangeri chinensis (Chinese tree shrew), 1581 nucleotides long. RefSeq lists it as uncharacterized. Lineage: Eukaryota; Metazoa; Chordata; Mammalia; Scandentia; Tupaiidae. The record is from RefSeq and is a predicted model, not a curated record. The transcript has 2 exons.